This 1014-nucleotide ribosomal RNA is filed under the name Salmonella enterica. Its description in RNAcentral is "bacterial SSU rRNA". It matches the Rfam family "Bacterial small subunit ribosomal RNA", at positions 92 to 1102 of the family's 1533-position model. Lineage: Bacteria; Pseudomonadati; Pseudomonadota; Gammaproteobacteria; Enterobacterales; Enterobacteriaceae. RNAcentral also lists the same sequence under 1 other name. The record is from RNAcentral.
CGAGUGGCGGACGGGUGAGUAAUGUCUGGGAAACUGCCUGAUGGAGGGGGAUAACUACUGGAAACGGUGGCUAAUACCGCAUAACGUCGCAAGACCAAAGAGGGGGACCUUCGGGCCUCUUGCCAUCAGAUGUGCCCAGAUGGGAUUAGCUUGUUGGUGAGGUAACGGCUCACCAAGGCGACGAUCCCUAGCUGGUCUGAGAGGAUGACCAGCCACACUGGAACUGAGACACGGUCCAGACUCCUACGGGAGGCAGCAGUGGGGAAUAUUGCACAAUGGGCGCAAGCCUGAUGCAGCCAUGCCGCGUGUAUGAAGAAGGCCUUCGGGUUGUAAAGUACUUUCAGCGGGGAGGAAGGUGUUGUGGUUAAUAACCGCAGCAAUUGACGUUACCCGCAGAAGAAGCACCGGCUAACUCCGUGCCAGCAGCCGCGGUAAUACGGAGGGUGCAAGCGUUAAUCGGAAUUACUGGGCGUAAAGCGCACGCAGGCGGUCUGUCAAGUCGGAUGUGAAAUCCCCGGGCUCAACCUGGGAACUGCAUUCGAAACUGGCAGGCUUGAGUCUUGUAGAGGGGGGUAGAAUUCCAGGUGUAGCGGUGAAAUGCGUAGAGAUCUGGAGGAAUACCGGUGGCGAAGGCGGCCCCCUGGACAAAGACUGACGCUCAGGUGCGAAAGCGUGGGGAGCAAACAGGAUUAGAUACCCUGGUAGUCCACGCCGUAAACGAUGUCUACUUGGAGGUUGUGCCCUUGAGGCGUGGCUUCCGGAGCUAACGCGUUAAGUAGACCGCCUGGGGAGUACGGCCGCAAGGUUAAAACUCAAAUGAAUUGACGGGGGCCCGCACAAGCGGUGGAGCAUGUGGUUUAAUUCGAUGCAACGCGAAGAACCUUACCUGGUCUUGACAUCCACAGAACUUUCCAGAGAUGGAUUGGUGCCUUCGGGAACUGUGAGACAGGUGCUGCAUGGCUGUCGUCAGCUCGUGUUGUGAAAUGUUGGGUUAAGUCCCGCAACGAGCGCAAC